UUGAAGAAAUGUCAAGGAAUAUCAAAGAAUGUCAAGGAAUAUCAAAGAUAUCAAAGAACAUCAAGGGAUAUCAAGGAAGAUGAAAGGGUAUCAAGGAAUGUCAAGAAAUGUCAAACAAUAUCAAGGAACAUCACUAUCUCUUCACAACAAACCUUUAUCACACAUCUUUGCUUUCCAACUCAUACCAAUAAUCAAUAUCAAUGUCAUCUUAGAAUUUGAGAAAUUGAAGAUCUCAUUUAUCAAAACUUUUGUAGAAAAGAUAUCAUGAUAAUAUCUCACUGAUGAGAAAACAAUCAAAAGAAUCUUUAGUUGAAGAGAGG
This 320-nucleotide long non-coding RNA is filed under the name Daucus carota (carrot). RNAcentral's name for it is "long non-coding RNA (DCAR_LNC007035)". The record is from RNAcentral. Lineage: Eukaryota; Viridiplantae; Streptophyta; Magnoliopsida; Apiales; Apiaceae.